This is a non-coding RNA of Oryctolagus cuniculus (rabbit), 1746 nucleotides long. Lineage: Eukaryota; Metazoa; Chordata; Mammalia; Lagomorpha; Leporidae. The record is from the annotation of a RefSeq genome assembly.
GCACCCUGGUCACCGUCUCCUCAGUGAGCCUGUCAUCUCCAACUCUGUACCCGCUCGUCUCCUGCGAGGGCGCCCUGACCGAUGGGAACCUGGUGGCCAUGGGCUGCCUGGCGCGGGACUUUCUGCCCAGCUCCAUCACCUUCUCCUGGAGCUUCAAGAACAACUCUGAGAUCAGCAGCCGGACCGUCAGGACCUUCCCGGUGGUGAAGAGAGGGGACAAGUAUAUGGCCACCUCGCAGGUGCUGGUGCCCUCCAAGGAUGUCCUCCAGGGCACAGAGGAGUACCUGGUGUGCAAAGUCCAGCACGACAACAGCAACAGAGACCUGCGAGUGUCCUUUCCCGGUGAGCCGCGAGGCCUCCCGCAUGAUGGAGAAGUGGACUCAGAGCUGCCCCCCAACGUGAGCGUGUUCAUCCCACCUCGAGACUCCUUCAGCGGCUCUGGCACACGCAAGUCCAGGCUCAUCUGCCAGGCCACAGGUUUCAGCCCCAAACAGAUCAGCGUGUCCUGGCUGCGCGAUGGGCAGAAGGUGGAGUCUGGCGUCCUCACCAAGCCGGUGGAGGCUGAAACCAAAGGGGCUGGGCCUGCGACCUUUAGCAUCAGCAGCAUGCUGACCAUCACCGAGAGCGACUGGCUGAGCCAGAGCCUGUACACCUGCCGCGUGGACCACAGGGGCAUCUUCUUCGAUAAGAACGUGUCCAUGUCCUCCGAGUGCAGCACGACCCCAUCCCCAGGCAUCCAGGUCUUCCCCAUCGCCCCUUCGUUCGCCGACACCUUCCUCAGCAAGUCAGCCAGGCUGAUCUGCCUGGUCACAGACCUGACCACCUAUGGCAGCCUCAACAUCUCCUGGGCAAGCCAUAACGGCAAAGCCCUGGACACCCACAUGAACAUCACCGAGAGCCACCCCAACGCCACCUUCAGCGCCAUGGGCGAGGCCAGCGUGUGCGCGGAGGAUUGGGAGUCUGGGGAGCAGUUCACAUGCACCGUGACCCACGCCGACCUGCCCUUCCCGCUGAAGCACACCAUCUCCAAGUCCAGGGAGGUGGCCAAGCACCCCCCGGCGGUGUACGUGCUGCCGCCAGCCCGGGAGCAGCUGGUCCUGCGAGAGUCGGCCACCGUGACCUGCCUGGUCAAGGGCUUCUCGCCGGCAGAUGUGUUCGUGCAGUGGCAGCAGAGGGGGCAGCCCUUGUCCUCAGACAAGUACGUGACCAGCGCCCCAGCGCCCGAGCCCCAGGCCCCGGGCCUGUACUUCACCCACAGCACCCUGACCGUGACCGAGGAGGACUGGAACUCCGGGGAGACGUUCACCUGCGUCGUGGGCCACGAGGCCCUGCCGCACAUGGUGACCGAGAGGACCGUGGACAAGUCCACUGAAGGGGAGGUGGGCGCCGAGGAGGAGGGCUUUGAGAACCUGUGGACCACCGCCUCCACCUUCAUCGUCCUGUUCCUGCUGAGCCUCUUCUACAGCACCACGGUCACUCUGUUCAAGGUGAAGUGACCUGAGAAGGAUGUCGGAGGCCAAGAGACAAGCCCGCCGUGGCCCUGCUCGCGUGGCCUGCACUCUGGGGCCUGCAUCUUCCCCAUAUCGCCAGCCAGCUUUGAGCUCUAAAGCGCAGGCCUCGUUCCAGACCAGCCCAGGACCCUCUGCCCUGUGGAGUGACAGUGAGGGUGUGCCCCACGCGCUGUGUGCUGUGUGCUGUGUAGCUGUCAGUCACCCUGAAAUAAAUGCGGGCGGCCCAGCUCACAAA